UACGGAGACUGCAAGCGUUAUUCGGAUUCACUGGGCGUAAAGGGUGCGCAGGCGGCCGUGUGUGUGAGGCGUGAAAGCCCGGGGCUUAACCCCGGAAUUGCACCUCAAACUACAUGGCUAGAGCAUUGGAGAGGGUAGCAGAAUUCAUGGUGUAGCAGUGAAAUGCGUAGAUAUCAUGAGGAAUACCAGAGGCGAAGGCGGCUACCUGGACAAUUGCUGACGCUCAGGCACGAAAGCGUGGGGAGCAAAAGGG
RNAcentral lists this ribosomal RNA (253 nucleotides) under uncultured bacterium. RNAcentral describes it as "partial 16S ribosomal RNA". It matches the Rfam family "Bacterial small subunit ribosomal RNA", at positions 524 to 776 of the family's 1533-position model. The record is from RNAcentral.